RNAcentral lists this ribosomal RNA (292 nucleotides) under uncultured bacterium. Its description in RNAcentral is "partial 16S ribosomal RNA". RNAcentral also lists the same sequence under 1 other name. The record is from RNAcentral.
GGACUACCCGGGUUUCUAAUCCUGUUUGAUCCCCACGCUUUCGUGCAUCAGCGUCAAUAUAUGCGUAGCCUGCUGCCUUCGCAAUAGGUGUUCUAUGUCAUCUCUAUGCAUUUCACCGCUACAUGACAUAUUCCGCAAGCCUCCACAAUAUUCAAGAUAAAUAGUAUCAAUGGCAGUUUUCGGGUUAAGCCCAAAGAUUUCACCACUGACUUAAUUACCCGCCUACGCACCCUUUAAACCCAGUGAAUCCGGAUAACGCUUGCACCCUCCGUAUUACCGCGGCUGCUGGCAC